Molecule: small nucleolar RNA, 122 nt
Organism: Oryctolagus cuniculus (rabbit)
Lineage: Eukaryota; Metazoa; Chordata; Mammalia; Lagomorpha; Leporidae
Source: Ensembl
CCCCUUUAAGCAACAGUGGCUUGCUAAUGACCAUCGUCGUCAGAAGGGCAGAGCUAAAGCACCACUUUUGGGUGAAGCAGCAGCAUGUGUGCUGUUUUGCUUCAAUCAGUGGUGUGACAAGA